Corvus hawaiiensis (hawaiian crow) is the source of this 7333-nucleotide long non-coding RNA. RefSeq lists it as uncharacterized. The transcript is spliced from 7 exons. NCBI's taxonomy places the organism in Eukaryota, Metazoa, Chordata, Aves, Passeriformes, Corvidae. The record is from RefSeq and is a predicted model, not a curated record.
GAACAAUCACCCUUUCUCCCCCCCACCUUGGAUCGGAUCCCGAUGGAAACUCAUCAAGGCCUCCUAAGUGGUCAGAGGAAGAGAGAAGAAAAAUAGUUACUGAGAAAAGAUCACUUCAGGGUGCAGCAAAGCUGGAUGCAAAGGGAAAAAUAAAGCUACUUUUUGGCUUAUAUAUAUUUGAAAACCAUAGGUUUACAUCAGAUGGAGUGUUAACAGAAGGUCGUGGUCCUAAAGAAAGGAUUAAAGCCGGUGAGGACUUAGCUUGAUGCAGGUUGAGACUAAGCCUGCAAGCUGUCUGCUGGAUGUUUCCAUUAGUUCCACGGCUGCAGUAAGAGCUGUAAAAUGACCAAGUAUGUCAAACUUCUCACAGUGUCCACUAAGGCUACUAAAGCUCACAGCUCUUGAAAAGGCUUUCAAGGACCCUGGAAGCCCUGAAGAUACUUGAAUGGAGCUGGACUUUUAGACUGAACUGCAGAAAGCCUCAGCUGCUGCAAACCCACUGAAAUGUGGAGUGCCUUUUUUGCUGAUUGCUCCAGACUCUCAGAUCCUGGGAGCCUGUCUCAAGCUGUGGCUAACAGCAUAAUCCACCUGGAUGUUUAACAAAGCUGGCUACUUGGAAGUCAGAAGCCCUAGGAAGGCUGGCAUAUUCAGCUCUAGAGGUUUCCUCCUUACAACAGGAUGUUCUGGGCAAAAAAUCUGCAGCUCAAUGAGUAUUAAAAACCUAUUCAAAACACCAGGCUCAAAGUUUUAUGGUAAGACUGGACUGCAGGAUAUGAAGUUGCAGCCACAUUUAUAAAUGCUGCCUUAUAUCUUUCAUUAUGUUUUCAUAGCACUUAUUCCAAUGGAAACAAAAAGAGAAGAGUUACUAUAUACAAUGUGGGACAAAGUGAUUGAAAGCAGUAAGUUGACCUAUCCCCCUUCAUUACCUUUGUGACAUAUACUAAUUCCCAUAUUUUUAACUGCAGGAUUUUUUGGAAUUGUCUUUUCCUGUGGAUAUUUGAAUUGGAUGAGGGCUUGAAUUACACAGCAUGUAAGUCUCUGAAUUGUUAUGAAUUAAUAGGAACGUGGACAGAACUGCGCACUGUUGUGUUUUUGCUCAAAGUUAAUUUAUCUUCCUGAGAUCUUUGCUGAAUUUAGAUUUUAGGAUCACAGCUAAACACCAUUUCCAGGCACAGUGAGGAUAAUAAAAUCCUUAGGAAUAGUCAGCAUGGCGUCACUGAGUGGAAGCCUUGCUUGACCAACCUGACACACAUCUGUGGUGAAGUGACUGACCUCUUGGAUGAGGGGAAGGCAGAGGGUGUUGUCUGCCUGGAAUUCAGCGAGGCCUUUGACAACGUGUCCCGUUAGACCCUCAUAGAGAAGCUUUUGAUGUACACACUGGGUGAGUAGACUGAGGUGGACUGAAAACUGAAUGUCUGGCUCCAGGGAGUGGUGAUCCACAAAUCUAGCUGGAGACAGUGGCUAGCAGAGUUCCUCAGUGACCACUACUGGGUGCAGUACUGUUAAACCUCUGGAUGAUGAGGCAGAGUGUAGCCUCAGCAAGUUUCCUGGUGACACCAAACUGGGAGAAGCAGCAGAAGCACUAGAGGGUCAUGCUGCCAUCCAGAACGACCUCAAAAGGCUGGAGAAAUGGGUCAACAGGAAUGUCAUGAGGUUCAACAAAGGGAGUUGUGAAGUCCUGCACUUGGAGCACCCCCAUGCACCAGCAUAUGAUGAUAGCCUCUUCAGUGGAAAGAAGCUUGGCAGAAAGGAACCUGGAGGUCUUGGUGGACAGCAGUUUGAACAUGAAACUCUCAGUAUCAAAUUCUUUCAUGAAGGAUGACAUUUUCUGUCCAUAAGGAUGAAUGUUUUCAAAGAAUCACGACAUCUGUAACAAAAACAAACAAACAAAACCCCCAAAAUGACAAGAGCAACAACAAAAACAAUACAAACAAACAAUCAAACAACAAAAAAACCCCAAGACCUUGUGGAAAGCAUUCUGGGCUGUGGGACAGAAAUUCAUGUCCUGCCUUCCAAAUGUGCUUUCACAUGUGACUUCCAGCAAAUUACUUGAUCUCUCCAGUUCUGUAUCUACAUGAGCUCAGCAACAUUUUUUAAUAUAUGGAUACACAGGAACUAACAUUCUUAUCACUGCUGCUCUAUUCUGUUACAGUUUAGAUAAAACUAUCUUUAUAAAGGUUUAAUAGUGUUUAAGAAAAAAUUGAUUUUAUAUAAAAGUUACAUUUAUUGCAAGGAAACAAAUGGAAGAAGAAAAUAUCUAUGAACUUCCAGCUUAUCUGGACAAAGACUUUUAUUAGCUGUUUCCUUGGUAACUUUUUGCAAGAAACCUUUAAAGAUAACUUUGCAUUUGGGAGUAGAGAAUCUUGAAAUAUGACAAAGGCUACUGAGAAGUCUUAAUACAAAGGCACAAUGUAUCCCAAGAAAGCUUUCAUGAUGUUGCUUUUAUGGCUGAAUCUCUGAGGAAAAAAAUAUUCUGCAAAGAAAAGCACAGCAAGAGAGCAAAGAUGAUCAGAUGUAUUAACACACAGAGUCAGCAACAAAGCAGCUGAGAAGCCAUGAAGUAGCUGGAGAGGACUUAAAAGAGAUCUUCAUCUGGAUGAGUUACUACUGAUAGGAAAAAAAAAUUCUACAUCUUUGAAGGAUGUCUUACACUUUGGACUACAAUUUUCUGGCAACUUUCACCACAGAGGUCUCACAUUUGCUUCAAUAAAUGACUGAAGUGCCUAGACAUUUAUUUUUCUAUGUCUGGUUCCCAAAUGGAAGCUGGAUCUCCCGUGGUAGGCAUAUUAGAUCAAGUUUUUCUGGCCUAAUUUCCAGCAAUAUCCCCAUGAUUCCUACUAGCUACCUGUCCUGGUAGUGCACAUCUGGCCAAGAAGAAACCCAAGGCAGGUGGAUUUACAUGGAAUUUAGGAAAUGUCCCAGUGCCUGGAAAGUAUUAGCCACUGCAGAGUAAUCCAUGCAGUGCAGCAGAUAGCCCUGGGAACUGACUGUAAAGCUGCUUAAUAUAGUAGAGUGUCUGAAAUUCUUCCCCUCCUCUGCAGCUUAGACAUAUGGCUUAGAACUCAUGGAAAAGAGAUGGAUUCCAGCAUCCAGAAACCUCUACUGUGAAGAAGUCUACAGAAACACUUCCCAAGAACUCAGAAGAGAUUGCAAAAGAGACAUUAUUUUCUCUUUUCUCUCAAACCUGCCAAGGGUUUCAUGCAUUUGCCUAGUAAGUGAGAAAAGAGGCUGUUCUCAUCAAAUUCUCAUGGGGCAACUCAGAAGGAUCUCUGAACACAGGGAUGAGGCCCUUUUUGUCAAAGGUGUACAACUGCAUCAAGAAAUAUCACUCACAAAUCUCUCGGGUUCCAAUUCAUCCCUCUUUCCCAAAAAUCCAGGAAACUGCACAGUCACAUUUACUUUCCUUUUCUGUGAUUUUGGUUUUUUUAAGUGACUUACUGAGCCAUGACAAGUAUUUUUUUUUUUUUUUCCCAAAAUGGAAGAAAAAUUUGUUUAUUCAGAAGCAUUUACUAACAACUCAAAAAUCAAUAUAAAACACAGUAUUGCUGUCAUACUUGUAUUCAAACAGAUCCAAGACAUAUUACACCCUUGUUUUUGUGACAAACCUUUCUCCUUUGUGAAAAGCUUGUUUUACAAAGUAACAGAAAGAAGGGUGAAAAGAGUGACUUGUCAGAAGCUGUGCUUCCAAGCUGUUUGGAAAGGGGAGAAAGAUCUGGCUGGUUGCUUACCCAGAAAUUUUUCAAGAUGCUUUUUGCUCAGAUGAAAUUGCAAAUAAAAGCUCAGUCGGAAUGUACUGCUGGUUUGUUGAACUUAUAAUGACUAUUGCAAAUACAAGAGAAUACUCAGAAGCCAUACUGUGGUUUCAUUUCCAUCUUGGAAGAUAAGAAAAGCUGUUGUUUACACUUGAAAGAUGAUAUUGAAGAAUUAAAUAGUGCCUCAUUAUCUCACCUAGUUCCACUUCUACUCAGAUUCUUUUCUUGCCCUUAUUCCUGUCACUGACCAUACUGAAUACCUUUCUAACUGAAAGAGAAUUAAGAUGUGGAAUGAGGUGCAAACAAAUGCGUGCCUCAUCUAGAGCUGGUGGAUGACAAGACUACAGAUAAGUUUAAAGUCUGGGGUUUUACCUCCAUAGAGACUUCAGAAAAAUGCAGAGGGAAAAAAACUGAAACUCACAAAUUUUGAAUGCCCUCCAACAUUUGAUGAUUUGAUUAUUUCGUUCACAUCUCUGUUUACAGACUUUGAAGCUGCUUUGUGAGGUAGUCAGAAACAGAAAACUUUUACAAGGUAAAUAACUGAAAGAGUUGAGAAUGAAAGAAGAGACCCUCUUCGGCUAACAGGAUUCUAGGGCCCAUAAAAAAAAAAACAUGGUCCUCUGAGUAAUCUUGAAAACACAUGAGAAUGACCAUAGAAUUUAGUUCCUCUUUAGGGAUCAAAAUAAGCAGCAACUUUAUCAGGAUAGUACAGCACUAAGAGCCUGGCCUUGGACAACAUAAUGUGAACUGACAGCCUUUCCGAGGAAUUUUAAGGGUUUGUCUCUAUCUGCAGUUGCUUCACAUUUCCAAAUUUGGCUCUGAACACCAAUAAGAAGCAUUUAGCAGAACGAAAUACUGGAUCCAAUUUUCUGAAUGAACAUUCAUAGGACCAUCCUUCUUCCCAGACUGAGACAUUUUACUAAUAAAGGACACACAGAAGACAUCCUUGACGUCUUGUUUCAGAGUCUGCAUCCAUUACACUCUUGUAAUGAAGAAGGGAAGCAAAAUACAAAAAACAAAAUAAAACAAAAUAAAGGAAAAUUAUCAAUUGAUAAAAGAAAAAAUAUCAAACCUGCUUGCUAAAAUAAACAGAUGGAAAAGGCAAAUUAUUAGUGAAUACUUGUUUUCUAGCAAAGCUACUGGGGGAAAUAGAAGGAAGAUGAGCAAGUAAAUAUGCACAGCAUUCCUGGAGGAGAAAUAAAUAGGGAUCCUAUUAUACUGCUGCUUAUGCACAGCUUGGAAACUUCACUAUAAAAGCUGCAGGGAAUAGAAAUACACUGUAUGCAAGCAGAACAUCCUUGGACUUUUUACGACACUACAUGCAUGCCAUACCCUGAGGUUCCUAUAAAAUACUUAUUAUUUGCCAGUUCAAGCUGUUUGGCUUAGCUGUGAUUUGGGUAAUAUUUCCUUCCACUGGAAGAAGUGCUCUGCUAUUGGAAUAGGCUGGAGUGCUACAGCAGCAUAUCCUCAUCUUUCUCAGAUUGCUCAUAAAUUUCCAGGCCACAGUUAUCAACCACAGGUAUUCUAAACUGCAAGUGACUCUGCCUGUGGAUCCGUAGAGCAGGGAAUAUAUACCAAAAUUUCAAGUUCAUUUAUUCCUCCAUUUCCAUCGCUGUGUAUUUCUUAUCAUAGAUUUAAAAAUAUUAAUUUACCUGGGCUCUGACAUACAUGCAGAAGUCCAAGGCGAUCUCUGUUAGUUUCAGGACAAAAUAUAACACUGAGUAAACUCACAGGCUUUUACUAUGCAAACCAAAAGUUUUUCUUGGUUUUCUUUGGAAGAAUUCUCAAUUACUUCAAUCAAGAAAAAUUUUGUAAAAGGACUGAGUAGGCGAAAUAAUGACAAAACUUGAGCUCUUUGACAGAGGACAAGGAAGUUUUGAUUAGAGGGAAGACAAUUUGAGAAGAACUUCCUUUCCUGAGGCUGCACCUACAAUCAAAGGAGGCUAUCAACUAUUGCAUAACCCUGAGUAUGGAAAUAAAGGAGUUAUUGAAGCCAUGGGAUGACAAGAGGCAAGAGUGAGCAAGAGCAGCGUGACUUCAAGUUCAAGAGUGGAAGGGCGAAGCAAGAGUGAACAAGAGUAGCAGCAGCUUUGAGCUCAGGAGUGGAACAGUGAGGUAGCAUUGAUUGGAGAGCACCUGAAGAACUGAAGGGCAGGAAUCCAGGUGAUCCUAUGGAACUGGGAGUGAGAAUUGACGAAACUUCUGGUACUUCAUGACAGGGAUACAGAUAGUGUUCUUAAGCAAAACCAGUCAGCUCUCCUAAUAAAGGAUAGUAAAGAAAUUGUUGGGUUGCAGGUUUAUAGGAAAGGACUAAGACAUUUUUAUUGCUCACAAAUGACCAUGAAACACAAUGACAGAUUGUAGGAGAAACCCUACAAAUUCCAAAACAAUCAGUAUAAGCAAGGAGUAAGCCUCAUAACACAAUCCUUCUCUCCAUUCAGAAUUGGGGGAGACCUCAGCUGGAAAUCUGGGUCCAGUUUUCUUGGGCAGCCAGGAAUACACUGAACCAACAACCAAACUGGCAUGAGCGAAAUGUUGCUCCAGCUCAAAUUUAUGAUACCACAAAUAUAUUGGACAAGUUGAAAAUAAUGAAAUAGAAGAGGAAAAAAAUGACCCGUGCAACAAGUAAUGCAGCAAAGGACAGAAGAACUGAAAAUUAUUACUGUUGAGAUUUGAUAGAAUAGUCACACAACAACCUAGUGGACCUUUCAACUGAAAAGUUGAAAUUAGGUGAGAGUUUCUAUUUGAGAAGGAUAAAAUUGUCAUUACAAGAGAGAAAGAUGCCAUUUCUAUUAGAACCAUUAUUUCUUUUUUUUGAAGUCCUUAGAAACUCAAUGCUACACAAUCUUGAAUGUUGAUAGUUCUGUUUUCUAACUCACUAACCCAAGAGGAGACAUGUUUCAACGACGGGAAGCUAAAUUUGUUUGCAAGACAGUGUGUGUCUAAACUGCAGGAAACCAGUUUGGGAGAUAUGCAGACAAUGUAUUGUGUAUGUUUGUACUACUCGCUGAAGAAAAAUUAUAUGGAAGCCUUUUAAUUUUCUAUCACAAAAUGGGCAGGGCUCACACAGAGGAAAGAUCUUUUGUAUUGAAUAGAUGUGAUUUGACUCCAUGAUUGGCCCCUGGUAGUUCCCUGUAAAGCAGUGAGCAUGACAUGGUUGUAUAUGCUACGCCAACUUUGAUGUUUAACCUUGCUGCUUCAAAAGGCUGGUUUAAAAAAAACCCCUCAAAAAUAUUGCUUGAAGUAAUAAUUGAUAGUGACAAGGGAAAAUAUACAGUUAACAUAGUGAAAGAAAACAAGACAAAUUUUAAAAGCUUAGUAAAAGGAUGAAAGCAGUUUUCUACACUCUUAUUAUAGAGUCCCUUCUGGUCAAAAAGAAAAAGAACAACAAUUAGGUAACUACUGUUAGCUGCAUUAGAGAAAAGCACCAGAAGAUCAUGAAUAGAGAAACCAGUGCUGUGUUAAUGCAAUUGGAAAGAAACUUUGUUCUUAUUCACUGUCUGUUCCCCUGUAAUUUUAAGAAUUUCAUGCGUAUAAUCUUUUAUAAACCAAAGAAAUAAAUUUAUGCUUUUUAAAAUUUA